AGGAGCAACAGCCCCAGUGGCGGGGCAGCUCUGGAAACCUGGAUUCAGCUCCGGCAGGAACUCCGUCUGCAGGGCCUGGAGGCUCCGGGCGGGG
Molecule: non-coding RNA, 94 nt
Organism: Canis lupus familiaris (dog)
Lineage: Eukaryota; Metazoa; Chordata; Mammalia; Carnivora; Canidae
Source: Rfam